Molecule: non-coding RNA, 29 nt
Filed under: Mus musculus (house mouse)
Lineage: Eukaryota; Metazoa; Chordata; Mammalia; Rodentia; Muridae
Source: RNAcentral
UGUGACGAUACAAGACUCCAUGAUGCAGC